GUGCUUGUAGCUCAGUUGGAUAGAGCAACGGCCUUCUAAGCCGUGGGUCGGGGGGUCGAAUCCCUCCAAGCACG
Molecule: transfer RNA, 74 nt
Filed under: Fusicatenibacter sp.
Lineage: Bacteria; Bacillati; Bacillota; Clostridia; Lachnospirales; Lachnospiraceae
Description: tRNA-Arg
Rfam family: tRNA
About the family: Transfer RNA (tRNA) molecules are approximately 80 nucleotides in length. Their secondary structure includes four short double-helical elements and three loops (D, anti-codon, and T loops). Further hydrogen bonds mediate the characteristic L-shaped molecular structure. tRNAs have two regions of fundamental functional importance: the anti-codon, which is responsible for specific mRNA codon recognition, and the 3' end, to which the tRNAs corresponding amino acid is attached (by aminoacyl-tRNA synthetases). tRNAs cope with the degeneracy of the genetic code in two manners: having more than one tRNA (with a specific anti-codon) for a particular amino acid; and 'wobble' base-pairing, i.e. permitting non-standard base-pairing at the 3rd anti-codon position.
Source: RNAcentral